ACGCUAGCUACAGGCUUAACACAUGCAAGUCGAGGGGAAACGGCAUUAAGUGCUUGCACUUUUUGGUCGUCGACCGGCGCACGGGUGAGUAACGCGUAUCCAACCUUCCCAUGACUAAGGGAUAACCUGCCGAAAGGCAGACUAAUACCUUAUGGUCUUCACUGACGGCAUCAGAUGUGAAGUAAGGAUUUAUCGGUUAUGGAUGGGGAUGCGUCUGAUUAGCUUGUUGGCGGGGUAACGGCCCACCAAGGCAACGAUCAGUAGGGGUUCUGAGAGGAAGGUCCCCCACAUUGGAACUGAGACACGGUCCAAACUCCUACGGGAGGCAGCAGUGAGGAAUAUUGGUCAAUGGGCGAGAGCCUGAACCAGCCAAGUAGCGUGCAGGAUGACGGCCCUAUGGGUUGUAAACUGCUUUUGUAUGGGGAUAAAGUCAGUCACGUGUGAUUGUUUGCAGGUACCAUACGAAUAAGGACCGGCUAAUUCCGUGCCAGCAGCCGCGGUAAUACGGAAGGUCCGGGCGUUAUCCGGAUUUAUUGGGUUUAAAGGGAGCGUAGGCUGGAGAUUAAGUGUGUUGUGAAAUGUAGACGCUCAACGUCUGACUUGCAGCGCAUACUGGUUUCCUUGAGUACGCACAACGUUGGCGGAAUUCGUCGUGUAGCGGUGAAAUGCUUAGAUAUGACGAAGAACUCCGAUUGCGAAGGCAGCUGACGGGAGCGCAACUGACGCUGAAGCUCGAAGGUGCGGGUAUCGAACAGGAUUAGAUACCCUGGUAGUCCGCACAGUAAACGAUGGAUGCCCGCUGUUGGUACUUGGUAUCAGCGGCUAAGCGAAAGCAUUAAGCAUCCCACCUGGGGAGUACGCCGGCAACGGUGAAACUCAAAGGAAUUGACGGGGGCCCGCACAAGCGGAGGAACAUGUGGUUUAA
Molecule: ribosomal RNA, 925 nt
Filed under: uncultured bacterium
Lineage: Bacteria
Description: bacterial SSU rRNA
Rfam family: Bacterial small subunit ribosomal RNA
Source: RNAcentral